AGCGAACGUUAGCGGCGGGCCUAACACAUGCAAGUCGAACGCGAAAGGUCUUCGGACUGAUUAGAGUGGCGCACGGGUGAGUAACACGUAGGUAAUCUACCCUUUGGCGGGGGAUAACGUUCCGAAAGGAGCGCUAAUACCGCAUAAGACCACGGAGUCUCCGGACGCUGUGGGAAAAGGUGGCCUCUUCUUGAAAGCUAUCACCGGAGGAUGAGCCUGCGUCCCAUCAGCUAGUUGGUAAGGUAAUGGCUUACCAAGGCAAAGACGGGUAGCUGGUUUGAGAGAAUGAUCAGCCACACUGGCACUGGAACACGGGCCAGACUCCUACGGGAGGCAGCAGUGAGGAAUAUUGGGCAAUGGGCGAAAGCCUGACCUAGCCACGCCGCGUGAGUGAUGAAGGCCCUCGGGUCGUAAAGCUCUGUGGAGAGGGACGAAAAACCUGGGGUCUAAUAGGCCCCGGACUUGACGGUACCUCUUUAGCAAGCACCGGCUAACUCUGUGCCAGCAGCCGCGGUC
RNAcentral lists this ribosomal RNA (516 nucleotides) under uncultured bacterium. Its description in RNAcentral is "bacterial SSU rRNA". It matches the Rfam family "Bacterial small subunit ribosomal RNA", at positions 29 to 522 of the family's 1533-position model. The record is from RNAcentral.